This is a long non-coding RNA of Felis catus (domestic cat), 574 nucleotides long. RefSeq lists it as uncharacterized. NCBI's taxonomy places the organism in Eukaryota, Metazoa, Chordata, Mammalia, Carnivora, Felidae. The transcript is spliced from 3 exons. The record is from RefSeq and is a predicted model, not a curated record.
AUUUUAACUGAAAAAUUAAGUAGCUUGCUCAAAAUUGUUCAAUAGAAGGACUCAGCUGGGGUUUGAGUACAGAUCUAGCUUGAGAACUUUUAACACGGUGAGUGAGCUAAAAGUCUCUGGAAGUGAUCCAGAAUUGUAUUUUGCAGUCAUGUGACUUAGAAAAUGAACAAGAACACGAGGGGUUCUGUUUUCUUUCUCAGAUCAGGUCAGCAUUGGUGUUUUCCGGGUGAUGCACCUUGUCAAGCCCUACAAGCUGUCAAAACACCUUCCUGAGUCCCAUGGGGGAAGGAGGUCUACCACUGAAGACUCCUCUGGGGAACUGAACCAGCUUCUCCCACCUUCCUCCCCGCCCCCCUCGGAUGACUUUUCCUCACCCUCAGCCUCUGACCAGUGAGACCGGGGAAACUAGACUUCAUUGUUCUGCUUUAUCUGUAGCACUACUGAUAAUGAAUCCUCUGUUAGCCUGGAUCCAAUUCUGUAGUCUUGGUUCCAGGAUUAUCUCUUGAUUGGAUGCUGAUUGUAUAUGUUUGUUUGUUUUUUAAAAAACCAUGAUGAAAAUUUACCUUAUUAUUUA